GAUGAACGCUGGCGGCGUGCCUAAUACAUGCAAGUCGAGCGAACAGACGAGGAGCUUGCUCCUCUGACGUUAGCGGCGGACGGGUGAGUAACACGUGGAUAACCUACCUAUAAGACUGGGAUAACUUCGGGAAACCGGAGCUAAUACCGGAUAAUAUAUUGAACCGCAUGGUUCAAUAUUGAAAGACGGUUUUGCUGUCACUUAUAGAUGGAUCCGCGCCGCAUUAGCUAGUUGGUAAGGUAACGGCUUACCAAGGCAACGAUGCGUAGCCGACCUGAGAGGUGGAUCGGCAACACGGGAACGGAGACACGGUCAAGACUCCUACGGGAGGAAGCAGUAGGGAAUCUUCCGCAAUGGGCGAAAGCCUGACGGAGCAACGCCGCGUGAGUGAUGAAGGUCUUCGGAUCGUAAAACUCUGUUAUUAGGGAAGAACAAAUGUGUAAGUAACUAUGCACGUCUUGACGGUACCUAAUCAGAAAGCCACGGCUAACUACGUG
RNAcentral lists this ribosomal RNA (497 nucleotides) under uncultured bacterium. RNAcentral describes it as "partial 16S ribosomal RNA". It matches the Rfam family "Bacterial small subunit ribosomal RNA", at positions 28 to 507 of the family's 1533-position model. The record is from RNAcentral.